Long non-coding RNA from Megalopta genalis, 1195 nucleotides. RefSeq lists it as uncharacterized. NCBI's taxonomy places the organism in Eukaryota, Metazoa, Arthropoda, Insecta, Hymenoptera, Halictidae. The record is from RefSeq and is a predicted model, not a curated record.
UAUCAAAGCCGAAGACAAACGAAAUUAUAACCUCAACGAAGGAACGACAAUGCAAACGUAACGCUACCUAUCGGUAGCAAACCGAAAUUACUUUCUUGCCAGCCCGAUAUAUUUUCAGCUUAUCCGACGAUCUAAACGGUGCCCUGAAGAAGAAAUCCCGGCCGAGCAGGUACGAGAAGUAAUACGGUAAAAGUGCGCGUUAAAACGAAAACAAGGAUGGGAUUCGGGUCAGUCGCGGAAAGUGAGUUGACAGGCCUGGUUUCCUGCGCGGAGGGACGCGCGCGUCCGAUGCCUGUCUUUCCAAGUCGUUUUCUUCGUAACUGUCGCCCCUUUUUUCCGUUCAGGGCACUCGGCGCUUCACAGAAAACAGAAUAGCCGUUCGUCUUCGGGGGCAAUUAUACCAGUUCACCGAGUAUCUGCAGGAAUCUAGUACGUUUAGCGGUAUAAUCGUGCGCGCAAGCUGGUUCACCGCUUUAGUUUCUUAACUCGGUCGGCACGAGGCUACGGGCUCUGUUUCGUGGUUGCAUUGCGCCACGGUUCUAGUGUCAUCGAUGAACGGGUCGCCAAACUGCCGGCGACCCCGGGGCCCCGUGGGGCCGCGGGGGACGAAAACCGAGCCGUUAAUCGUUACUAAUUCGCCGCGGAACCGCUGACGGUGCAGCUGCCGCGUCUUUCAGCCACCACCGGGCCUCGGAUCGAGGCUGCCGGGGGUCUAGCAGCCGGUUAUUGAUUACGCCCGACCGACUGCGAAACUCGCGAAAUUUCCGGCAACGUGAUAGGACCGCGGCCAAAGCUUGGGAAAUCGACGGAGACCCGUCUACCUGCCGAGGACAGCCUCUCAUUAUGCGUACUCGAUAUUAUCCGAGUGAUUCGCGUUACCGCUGGACAGAGCAAACAAUUGCUCAACAGGCAAUAUUUAGGACAGCUUCGGACGCACGGCUCGCGGCAAUCCGUCGCCGCGGUUUAGCGGAGCAUAGAUUUGUUUCGACGUUUUUUUCACACACAAAGCAAAUUGUAGCAGCAAGGAAGCGGCGUGUUUACGUGUUUUUCAAACGAAACGAAUACUGCCUCGCCGUAAACGCACCGCCGUCGCUGUACGACAGUAUAAAUAGUGCAAUUUGGAUCGGCGUUCAAUACGGAUAAUUGUUUUUCUUUUAUUAUUGAAGAAAAUAGACGCAGUGGACACUUAUCAGUA